RNAcentral lists this long non-coding RNA (462 nucleotides) under Carica papaya (papaya). Its description in RNAcentral is "long non-coding RNA (CPAP_LNC012102)". Lineage: Eukaryota; Viridiplantae; Streptophyta; Magnoliopsida; Brassicales; Caricaceae. The record is from RNAcentral.
UAUAUAUAUAUAUAUGUGCGUGAGAUGAUGUCUAUACAUAUAUAUAUAUAUAUAUAUUGUUUUUGGCGCAGGUAUAAUUUUAUUUUCAUUAAUUAAUCACGGACAAGAAAGAAGCAAUGAAGACCCAAGAGGUAGAUGAUAUGGUAAUUGACGAUAAUGGUACUGUACCUACCAACUCGUCAGUGCCUUCCCAAGAAAAUGAAGGAAAAUUGAAGGAAUCAGGUAAACUAACAAGUAAGAUAUAUAUAUAUAUAUAUAUUUAUGCAAUUUAUUAAUUCCAAUUCGUAUAGAUAUAGAUCUGGAUUUGAUAUAUAUAUCUCAGGGUCAGUUGGUGGGAUCAAUCAAGAUUUUGCCGGUAAUACUGAAACAGCGAAGGAGAGUGUGGAGUUUGAGAAAGAGCAGCCUCCAGGUGAUCAGGAAACAACACCACCACAGGUCCAAACUCAUCAGUCUGAUCUGCUU